Molecule: long non-coding RNA, 387 nt
Organism: Fukomys damarensis (Damara mole-rat)
Lineage: Eukaryota; Metazoa; Chordata; Mammalia; Rodentia; Bathyergidae
Exons: 3
Source: RefSeq, a predicted model, not a curated record
AAGUCUUCUAUUUUGCAGUUAGGAGAUGUGAGCCAAAAGAUGCGGUGAAUACUGUCCAUUCCACAGAAAGACAGGCUCCUAAAACACUACGGGGCACCCUCAUCCACUCGUUCACUGUCACAGGACCUGGCACCCUGUGGCUUCUGGCCGUUCUGUCAGGGUCUAAAUGACCAUGAAAGUUUUCAGUGGAAGUCCUACACCUAGGAUCGGUUUGGAGAAAAGGACAGGGUAGCGAAGCACUUUCCACCUACGUCCCCAACUGCUUCAAAGCCUCCUGCUGUUUGCGUCCUGCCCAGAGUUCCUGGAGCUCUCUGUAGCUAUUCGGCAGAAGUAGAACACGUUGCAGAGCCACCAGGAGGCAAAGGCACAGAAAUUGCCCGGUCACCC